GUGCUCACUUCAGCAGCACAUGCUCCCAAAUUAGAAUGAUACAAAGGUUUGCAUGGCCUUGUGCAGAGAUGAAAUGCAAUUUUGUGGACUGUUCUAUGUUUUU
This 103-nucleotide small nuclear RNA is filed under the name Peromyscus maniculatus bairdii (prairie deer mouse). The record is from RNAcentral. Lineage: Eukaryota; Metazoa; Chordata; Mammalia; Rodentia; Cricetidae.